Molecule: non-coding RNA, 362 nt
Organism: Paramuricea clavata
Lineage: Eukaryota; Metazoa; Cnidaria; Anthozoa; Malacalcyonacea; Plexauridae
Source: the annotation of a GenBank genome assembly
AGUAAUAGGCUAUAAUAGGACUUAAACAUUUAUAUAGCAGUAUUAAAAAUAUGUCACAGAUAAGAUUAAUUACAUUUGAUGCGACAAACACCUUAUUCAAAGUUUGUGGUAGUGUUGGUGAGAUAUAUGCAAAAACCAAAUUUUGGUCGUACAGUCAGAAUGUCAUCUCAAGAAUGGUGGAAAAGUGUUGUUGAUAUUUCAUUCAAUGGUCAAGUAAAUUCUGAUAUCCUUGGCAAGAUAUCUGCUGAUUUAUAUCAGAAUUUUAUAAAGAAAACUCACUGGGAAUUAUUCCCUGAUGUUUUGCCUGCUUUGGAACAUUUCAGAAACAAAGAUAUUAAACUUGGUGUUCUCUCAAACUUUGA